AGUGAACGCUGGCGGCAGGCCUAAUACAUGCAAGUCGAGCGAACAGACGAUGAGCUUUCUCCUCUGACGGUGGCGAGUGGCGGGUGGGUGACACGUAGAUAAGCUACCUCUUAUACGUGGAGGACUUCGUGGGGCAGGAGCUAAUACUACCUAAUAUAUUCAACGGCAUGGUUCAAUAGUUCAUCGCAGCUUUCGUGUCACUUUGAGAUGGAUCCGUGUCGCAUUAGCUAGUUGGUAAGGUAACGGCUUACCAAGGCUACGAUGCGUAGCCGAUCUGAGAGGGUGAUCGGCCACACUGGAACUGAGACACGGUCCAGACUCCUACGGGAGGCAGCAGUAGGGAAUAUUGGGCAAUGGGCGCAAGCCUGAUGGAGCCAUGCCGCGUGAGUGAUGAAGGUCUUCGGAUUGUAAAACUCUGUUAUUAGGGAAGAAAAAAUGUGUAAGUAAAUAUGGACGUUUUGACGGUACCUAAACAGAAAGCAACGGCUAACUACGUG
RNAcentral lists this ribosomal RNA (497 nucleotides) under uncultured bacterium. Its description in RNAcentral is "partial 16S ribosomal RNA". It matches the Rfam family "Bacterial small subunit ribosomal RNA", at positions 29 to 507 of the family's 1533-position model. The record is from RNAcentral.